AACGGAGUUCAUUAGAAAUAGUAUUUUACAGUGUGUAAGAAGAAAGCAUAAAUUCGGCACACCUUAGCUUCUGGCCGGAGAGAUCAUAAUAUUGUUAUCAAGUCAUUGUUAUCCGCUGUUGAUUGACCUGUUUUAGAUGCAAGUAUCCAGUACACAUUCCCUCGCUUACCACGCUGGCCCAUUUACAAGUUGAUCAGACUAUGGAAAUAGACGUAAAGAAAACUUUCGUGGUAUAUGAAUGGCAAAUAGCACUGUAACAGCGCGUGUGACUGAAAUAAAUAAAACCACAGUAGCGCGGACAGCAAUACAGGAGCAAAUGAUAUAUAUGAGUCAAAGGCUGAGGAAAUAGGGGGAAACAUUUAGGUAAAGUCGAAUAUUUCAGUUCGGAAGAUUAAAGAAGCCUUAGAAAAAUCGUCUUACUUUUCUGUUUGU
This is a long non-coding RNA of Pelodiscus sinensis (Chinese soft-shelled turtle), 432 nucleotides long. RefSeq lists it as uncharacterized. The record is from RefSeq and is a predicted model, not a curated record. NCBI's taxonomy places the organism in Eukaryota, Metazoa, Chordata, Testudines, Trionychidae.